This is a non-coding RNA of Rhypophila decipiens, 117 nucleotides long. The record is from the annotation of a GenBank genome assembly. NCBI's taxonomy places the organism in Eukaryota, Fungi, Ascomycota, Sordariomycetes, Sordariales, Naviculisporaceae.
GGGUGCAUGGUCUAGUGGUAUGAUUUUCGCUUUGCAUACUCACCUUCGAGGUUCUUUACGAGCCAAGAAGAUAUGCAAUCUUGUGAACGGUCCCCGGUUCGAUCCCGGGUGCAUCCA